This is a long non-coding RNA of Brassica rapa (field mustard), 1373 nucleotides long. RefSeq lists it as uncharacterized. The record is from RefSeq and is a predicted model, not a curated record. NCBI's taxonomy places the organism in Eukaryota, Viridiplantae, Streptophyta, Magnoliopsida, Brassicales, Brassicaceae.
CACCUUUCCACAUUGAUAAAUCUUAAAGCCCCCUUAUUAUCUGAAACAAUAAAUGUCUAUUCAACUCUUGCCAUUCCCUAAAACUUAUAGCUACAUAUAUUUCUUUUCCAAAUCUCUGCGCUUCGACUAAUUCUCCACAACAAAAUCAUCAGGGAGUGGAAAUCAGUCGCAACUGUUCCUGCCGAUUUACAAUCUCAGAGGUAGUACCACGAAAUUGGAGACUCAGUUUAAUUUUACGGCUUCAAAUUGCAGUCUGAGGUCCGGUGAACCUUAUUCAAAAACUUCACGGAUGCGGUUGGGAGUCCAUUCUCCGUUUCGGCUGAAGUUUUGACCAAGGACUACGAUCCAGAAUCACUUAUUUGGAGCGAUGAUUGAAAUGCCACUCUGGCUCCAGCUUCGGUUUGGGAUGUAAGAUUGUUACUUUCACAAACUUUUAUGUGCUUUAUAAUGGUUUUCUCAUGUAUGUUAUCAAUCUAAAUAGAAACGUAAGAAGAAAUCUUUGUCUGAAAGGCUUAAUAUCUGAUAAGAAAGAUGCUCGAGAGAGACCCAAAUGAAGUCUUAAUGCUCAACAAGUCUUGCGUAAGUAGGAUUAUGAACUCCAUAGCUUAAGAAGAUAUGUAACUUAAUCUUGGUUUAUUUAGUUUUUUGUCAGGCCUUCCAUCGAUAAGGGACACACCGUCAUGAGUCGCUUGAAGAAGUUUUCAGCUAACCGUCUAUGAUAAACCAAAGUAACACAAACCAAAUUAUCAUAAUUGGAACUGUGUGAACGUUUUUUUUUGGGAUUAGUCUUUGAUAUUGGAGUUUUAAUUAGUGUUUUUGUGAAAACAAGUGUUUGAUUUAAAGUUUAUUUAUUUUUUAUUCUGGAUCGAAUAGGUUUUUCACACAAUAUUUGUCCGGUCUCAUAUUUUCUUAACUAUUGUUUUUAGCUAUUAUAAUGUGCUAUGGUAUUUGUUUUAUAGUUUGCAGGGGGUGACGACACCGUUGGUUGGGUUCUUGGAUGUCUUGGAGAGUUUAACAAAGAAAAAACAUCACCAAUUACUCAUGUUGACAUUAUCACUCUCUGUCAAGGAGUUUUGGUUGGUUAAGUGAAUCGUUCUUCUCUCUUGUGUCAUCAUCACCAGUCUUUUAACAAAUUACCUUUAGAGAUUGUUUUUUUUCCUCUUCAAAAAAUAGUGAUAUAUUGGUUUAAAAGCUAUCCUCAGUUGUGCAACCCACACUUUGGUAAAAUGCAUAACAACUGCAUCUUUGUAAACUCUCUCUAUUGAGCCAGUGAUCGAACAGUCCUUGCUAACAAAGGAACAUAAUGAGGUUUUAGAGUACCCACAAGUUAUCAACGUCAUGAAUGUGCUAUAUAUAUAUUUUAUUUACAAAUA